GCCUCUGCUUAUCAAGGACCAACUCAUUCUGAUUGGUGUCUAUUGAAGCAAAGAGCUGCUCUCGCCUGCCGGGACCUGAUUUGGGGAAAGUGGUCAUUUGCUCCCACCCACAUUUGUACUACUACUCCUUGAUGGUGCUGGCUGGCCAGGAUAAAACCACUCUGAGAUGACACAAUUGAUGCGGGCCAGCAAGGAAGGAAAUCACCAUACUUCAGACUAUUUACUGCUACCCUUUAC
Neogale vison (American mink) is the source of this 237-nucleotide long non-coding RNA. RefSeq lists it as uncharacterized. The record is from RefSeq and is a predicted model, not a curated record. Lineage: Eukaryota; Metazoa; Chordata; Mammalia; Carnivora; Mustelidae. The transcript has 3 exons.